This 837-nucleotide ribosomal RNA is filed under the name Triticum aestivum (bread wheat). RNAcentral's name for it is "partial small subunit ribosomal RNA". The record is from RNAcentral. Lineage: Eukaryota; Viridiplantae; Streptophyta; Magnoliopsida; Poales; Poaceae.
AUGAGGUGGCUAAACAUCGGCUCUGAGAGAAAGCUCGACACGGCACGCAUGGUGCUGCGAGAGAUCAUCGGGGAGAUGAUGCAAAAGAGGAAGAUCACCACAUGUCGUUUUGGACAUGGCAAGGAACAAGAGAGUGUGGAUAUUAUUUCUUCCUUCCUCGAAGACCCAGACUACGCCAAUGCUGACUUGCUCCGUGCGAUUAUCAUUAGCUACAUGCUUGCUGCGAGGGACACAAUUGCAACAACCCUAACAUGGAUCUUCUGCGACCUCGCCCAAAAUCCUGACAUCGUGUCAAUCAUCCGCAACGAACUUUCACCCAUUGCAUCACGCAAAGUAGCAUUAGGGGCAUCUACCCCAGUGAUCUUUGAGCCAGACGAGACCAAAUCUCUAGUAUAUUUGACAGCCACUUUGUAUGAGACUCUUAGACUGUACCCACCGGCGCCUGUCUUGCUCAAGAAGGUGGCCGUAGAUGACAUCAUGCCGAGUGGCCAUGAGGUGCAUGCCGGUGACACCAUUUUUGUUUCCGUCCACUCCAUGGGGAGAAUGGAGGGUGUGUGGGGUAAAGACUGCUUCGACUAUAACCCACGUAGGUGGCUCUCAGAUGAUGACAACAACCUGAGGUACAUACCAUCUCACAAGUUCUUGGCCUUCAAUGCUGGCCCGAGGAUGUGCCUCGGCAAGGACAUUGCACUUAUGCAAAUGAAGACUGUCAUUGCUACAGCUGUGUGGAACUUCGAUGUGAAGGUGGUGGAAGGGCAAAGCAUCCAGCCUAAGCCGUCCAUUAUACUGGAGAUGAAAAAUGGGCUCAUUGUUAAGUUGAAGAAGCGAGAAAUGUAA